Patiria miniata (bat star) is the source of this 1355-nucleotide long non-coding RNA. RefSeq lists it as uncharacterized. The transcript has 3 exons. Lineage: Eukaryota; Metazoa; Echinodermata; Asteroidea; Valvatida; Asterinidae. The record is from RefSeq and is a predicted model, not a curated record.
AAUCUGAUUGCGUGCUGGCAUAAUCGGGCCAGUUAAUUACGCGGCACAAAGACAACCGCCAUUUUUCUGACAAUAAUCUGGGCACACUAAUAGAAUAAUGUAAUGGCGAGAAUUAGUAUCGUCAUUCGUGGUAACAAAAUUUGCAUCGGGUAAUGAAACAAUAUACAUGUAUGAUGUAGUCUCACAGAACGUACUGACAGUUGGUCAUGACCUAGGCUAGAGGUCAAGUUUCGUAUGCAUAUUGCCAAGUCAGCAAGAGUACUCAGAUGCAACGUAUUCUGUGCAUGCAAUACGACGGUUGUAGUUUGAACCAGUUCUGGAAGCUUCCCAGCAGGUGGGUCCUCUGUAGACGCUCGAUGUAAUUGCAUACAUGUACGUUCAGCAGAACACCAAGUUUGAACGUGGCGAAGGUACGAAGACGAGGAGACUGAACUGUUCAUGAGAAUGCUGCUGAACCAGACAGAGUAUCUGCAUCAAAACUACAGUUUACAUUACAUGUGGAGACACCAUCAAGAAAGUCUCAAACUACAACACGUACAAUGAUGCACUUCUUCUCCAGCUUCGGGGUACUAUGCUUUUGAUUUGGAUUAUCCAAAGUAUUUUCACGUGCUUUGAGUUCUUUAAAAAAAUUCAUAAUCAGAGAAAAGUUUUCCUGGCAGAUUCCAGCAAAUUCAUGGUGUUCACUACAAGGUAUUUGUGUAUAAAUUAAUUGGAUACAUUGUUAAAAUCUCAGCUAAAGAUCAAUACUUAUUUUACCACUUCAAAUCAUAACGCAAACCUUCAUAGGUUUUAAAAAACAAGUAUAAUUCAUUUGCAGUUUUACUUCUAAGUCUCAUUGAAUUGGAAACUAAUUGUUUUUAACCCUUUUUACAUUAUAUUCACCCUUUUGUGUUAAUGUUUUUGUUUCUUUGUUUUGAUACUUGUAUAAGUUGUAAUUGGCCUUAAAAUGUUGGGGUCUUAAAAAUAGGAUUGUUGGAAACAUACUGAUAGGCAUGGUAGUAUAUUCACAUGAAUGUCACAUUAUUUUUGCUGUCGUGAUGUAAAAUAUUCUCUAGGGGUGACCAUAAAAUACAUUUGUAUUUUAUUGUGUCCAUUUCAUGAUUCGAUAGAACUCAAUAGGCCUUUCACCACACUGAAUCCUAUAGGUGAAAAUGAAGACAGCUUUGUGAAGUGCCCUAAAUGCGUUUAUUUCAAUGUUGUUAAUAUUGUGACUGAAGUUUUACUUGCAAUUUUGAAUACUAUUCGAAAACUAAACACACACUGUGAAUAUAAACACUUGAAAAUAAUAAUAAAUGGCGUCACAUGUUGAAAAUCUGUCACAGGCAAUAAACGUGUCACAAUCAUGUUUAAAAUUA